RNAcentral lists this non-coding RNA (317 nucleotides) under Acetonema longum. RNAcentral describes it as "GlcN6P sequence". It matches the Rfam family "glmS glucosamine-6-phosphate activated ribozyme aptamer". Rfam says of the family: This entry contains a glucosamine-6-phosphate activated ribozyme that is found in the mRNA for GlmS. GlmS is an enzyme that uses fructose-6-phosphate and glutamine to generate glucosamine-6-phosphate. The record is from RNAcentral. RNAcentral also lists the same sequence under 1 other name. Lineage: Bacteria; Bacillati; Bacillota; Negativicutes; Acetonemataceae.
AAACUGAAAAAAGCGCUGGUGCUUGGGAAAAAUCCGUUGCAUACUCAUCUGCAGCCUGGAAUCCGGGACCGUUCAAAAGGGUCCAGAUACUAGGCACGACGAGGACGCGCGCGCAGACAGUACAUUCCAAAGGGUACGGCAAGCGCGCGCCCGCAGGAGUAACGACGCAGAUGGGCUCUUUUCAACGGUCCCCGAGCAGACGAGGGAGAGGUUUAUCGAACCGUCAGCGGAUGCCUCUCGGCUGGGCGGACGCAGCCGCAAGCAAUCGACAAAACCGCAAAGCGAUUUGCGGGACAAAACGGAUUGCGGCGUCCGAA